This 963-nucleotide long non-coding RNA is filed under the name Homo sapiens (human). RNAcentral describes it as "novel transcript". Lineage: Eukaryota; Metazoa; Chordata; Mammalia; Primates; Hominidae. The record is from RNAcentral.
GGGCUGUGAUGACGAGGAGUGGGCUAGUCUCCCGGGUCGGUCACCGCUGAACUCUCAGACAAUCAAGCUUUCGAUGAUCAUGUGAUGAGGUUUCCAGUCAGUUCCAGGUGAAGACACCACUGGCCAUCAAGAAGCUACCCUCUCCCCACCAGACAGAGCAGGAUGAGAGUUCUAUAAUCCUCAAUAGGAGGAAGCACUCAAUUGAACAAGUGCAGGAACCAGCUGGCUGCCUCAGCACUGACAGAAGCAAAUUCCAUUUGCUUGGACCCACUGCAUUCCAUCCCUUGUGGAAGAGAGCAUGUAAGCAAGACAGGACCUUCAGGCCUCUGAAAAAAAAAGGAUCAAAGAACUGAAACUCACCAGAUCACCUCACCAGAUGCUGGACCCCUCAUUCACCAUGUUUGCUUCCUUGCCUCUCCCUAGUUCUUAUUUUCUUACACAUUGUUACAUUUCUUCCCUGCUAUAUCAACCCCUAGUUCUAGUCAGUCAUGGAGAUGGAUUUGAGACUGAUCUCCCAUCCCCUCAGCUACACCACCUGAUUAAAGCCUUCUUCCUUGGCAAUAAUCAUUGUCUCAGUCAUUGGCUUUCUGUGCAGGGAGCAGCAGGACCUAGACUAAACCCCUGGUGUUUUGGUAACAAAAUAAGGCCAGGCACAGAAAGACAAACAUCACAUGUUCACACUUAUUUGUGGGAUCUAAAUACCAGAACAAUUGAACUCAUAGAGAUAGAGAGUAGAAGGAUUAUUACCAGAGGCUGGGAAGUGUGGUUGAAGGAGUUGGUGGGCAGUGGGGAUGUAGAAUGUGUCCAAAAAAAGGAAUAGAAUGAAGAAGUCCUAGUAUUUGAUAGCACAACAGGGUGACUAUAGUCAAUAAUCAUUUAACUGUACAUUUUAAAAUAACUUAAAAGGUGUAAUUGGGUUGUUUGUAACACAAAUGAUAAAUGCUUGAAGGAAUUGCUACUCCA